GUGAGGAAUAUUGGUCAAUGGACGAGAGUCUGAACCAGCCAAGUAGCGUGAAGGAUGACUGCCCUAUGGGUUGUAAACUUCUUUUAUACGGGAAUAAAGUGAGCCACGUGUGGCUUUUUGUAUGUACCGUAUGAAUAAGGAUCGGCUAACUCCGUGCCAGCAGCCGCGGUAAUACGGAGGAUCCGAGCGUUAUCCGGAUUUAUUGGGUUUAAAGGGAGCGUAGGCGGGUUGUUAAGUCAGUUGUGAAAGUUUGCGGCUCAACCGUAAAAUUGCAGUUGAUACUGGCGACCUUGAGUGCAACAGAGGUAGGCGGAAUUCGUGGUGUAGCGGUGAAAUGCUUAGAUAUCACGAAGAACUCCGAUUGCGAAGGCAGCUUACUGGAUUGUAACUGACGCUGAUGCUCGAAAGUGUGGGUAUCAAACAGG
This 425-nucleotide ribosomal RNA is filed under the name bacterium. RNAcentral describes it as "bacterial SSU rRNA". It matches the Rfam family "Bacterial small subunit ribosomal RNA", at positions 354 to 776 of the family's 1533-position model. The record is from RNAcentral. RNAcentral also lists the same sequence under 1 other name.